Molecule: long non-coding RNA, 2816 nt
Filed under: Oryza sativa (Asian cultivated rice)
Lineage: Eukaryota; Viridiplantae; Streptophyta; Magnoliopsida; Poales; Poaceae
Description: long non-coding RNA (OSAT_LNC000999)
Source: RNAcentral
GUGGCCACCAAGGGCGGCGCUCUCUGCCUCGGUGUGGUGGACGGCGGCGUGGCGUCGGAAACGUCGGUGGUGAUCGGCGGUCACAUGAUGGAGGACAACCUGCUGGAGUUUGACCUGGUGGGAUCGCGGCUGGGGUUCAGCUCCUCCCUCCUGUUCCGGCAAACGACCUGCAACAACUUUCGCCUCGGCUAGAUGUGCAACGCAUGGCAGUCGCCACUGCAGCUUAGCUUACUAUCUCAAAAAAAAAAAAGAUGCUUUGCAUUUCUUUGUGCAAUCGUGUGAAGUUGUUGGAAUAAAUUGUUCAUCCAUUACAACUAGUCAACCAGCGUAGGCAUUUGACUUGGAUCUACUUGUUCUUUACCAUAUCCUUGAUAGUGAGAGGUGGCGUUUGACUGAAACAACAAUUUGGAAUCAAUUUUGCUAUAUAUUAUCGAUAAAUUUUCUUCUAAAAUAUUGACUGAUGUAAUUAUAGUACAAUCGUAAUGUAAUUUAAUUUUGCUAUAUAUUUAUCGAUAAAUUUUCUUCUAAAAAUUUAAUAUAUAUAAUUACAGUAUAAUUGUAAUGUAAUUACACUGUAACUUGCAUGCAACUAUAAUGUAAGCAUGUAACUUUCACAUAAUUUUAAAUCGUUAGAUCUAUUCAAAUGAAGAAAAAAAGUCGCUGUGUGCACAUAUGUGUGAGGGUUCGUUCCACGACCUCCGUUUGACGGAAAUAGCAUGUUACGGAGAGACUUUUGAAAGUUACAUACAAGCUGUAUGUAAGUUACAGUGUAAUUACAUUAUAAUUGUAUUAUAAUUAUAUCUAUCAAACUUUUAAGAGAAAAUUUAUCGUAAAAUGUAUAGGUAAUCUCAAGCACUUGACCUUACUUUGUCAGCAAAUGUAAUCAACCGUCGCUGCUUGUGCAGUCUUCUCCCAUUUCAGCUCCCCUCGCUCCAGCUGAUCAGCACUGGUCCAGUUUAGAUUAGUUGGAUGAGUUGGAUACCAUCAUCUCAUCACCCAUACAACAAUGGCCACCCCUGCAAAAGGCUGUGCAGAUGGUUUGCCUGCCUGCAUGGUGGCCCGCAAUUGGUCGAGAACAAAGGUCGCAAUUCGCACAUGCCCAGACCGUCAAAUACUACCAGCAUUUUCCUUGCUAUAACAGCAGAGUUCCGUUUCCACUUCGGCGUCUCGUACAGUCGUACUCUCGCUCGGCCCGCGACUAUACAGUCUGCCCUACCAGGCUACCACCGCCAUCCAUCGCCGUUGUAUUCUGGGAUGGUGAUUGGUGCGAGAGCCGAAAUACCAAACCGCGCGCGAGGGUGCGCCCUAUAAAUAUCCUUCCUCGCCGCUGCAAUGGUUCACACCCCAUCGGAAUAUCGCAUCCUUCCUCUCAGAAGAAUGGCACGCUUUCCUCCUCCUCUCGCUUCCGGCGCUCUCCUCCUCCUGCUCUUCGUCUUGGUCUCGCCGUGCCGCUCGGCGGCAGGAGGCCGGCCGAGAGCCGUGGUGCUGCCGGUGAGCAAGGACGACGCGACGCAGCAGUACGCGACGGUGUUCCGGCAGCGGACGCCGCAGGUGCCCGUGAAGGCCGUGCUGGACCUCGCGGGCGCCACGCUCUGGGUGGACUGCGAUACCGGGUACGUGUCGUCGUCCUACGCGCGUGUCCCGUGCGGGUCCAAGCCGUGCCGCCUCACCAAGACCGGCGGCUGCUUCAACAGCUGCUUCGGCGCGCCAUCCCCGGCCUGCCUCAACGGCACCUGCAGCGGGUUCCCGGAUAACACGGUCACGCGCGUCACGGCUGGCGGCAACAUCAUCACCGACGUGCUCUCGCUGCCCACCACCUUCCGCACCGCGCCGGGGCCGUUCGCCACCGUGCCGGAGUUCUUGUUCACCUGUGGCCACACGUUCUUGACCGAGGGCCUCGCUAACGGCGCCACCGGCAUGGUGUCCCUCAGCCGCGCCCGCUUCGCGUUCCCCACGCAGCUCGCCCGAACCUUCGGCUUCUCCCGCAGGUUCGCGCUCUGUCUCCCGCCGGCCUCCGCAGCUGGCGUCGUCGUAUUUGGCGACGCGCCUUACGUGUUCCAGCCCGGCGUGGACCUCUCCAAGUCGUCGCUCAUCUACACGCCUCUGCUCGUCAACGCGGUGAGAACGGCGGGGAAGUACACAACGGGGGAGACGUCGAUCGAGUACCUCAUCGGCUUGACGGGCAUCAAGGUGAACGGCCGCGACGUGCCACUGAACGCGACGCUCUUGGCAAUCGACAAGAAUGGCGUAGGCGGCACCACGCUGAGCACGGCGUCUCCUUACACCGUGCUGGAGACCUCCAUCUACAAGGCGGUCAUCGACGCGUUCGCGGCCGAGACGGCCACGAUCCCCCGUGUGCCGGCCGUGGCACCGUUCGAGCUGUGCUACGACGGGCGCAAAGUAGGGAGCACCCGCGCGGGGCCAGCGGUGCCGACGAUUGAGCUGGUGCUGCAGAGGGAGGCCGUGUCGUGGAUCAUGUACGGGGCAAACUCGAUGGUGCCCGCCAAGGGCGGCGCGCUCUGCCUUGGCGUGGUGGACGGCGGCCCCGCGCUGUAUCCGUCAUCGGUGGUGAUCGGCGGGCACAUGAUGGAGGACAACCUGCUGGAGUUUGACCUGGAGGGGUCGCGGCUGGGUUUCAGCUCCUACCUCCCGUUGCGGCAGACGACCUGCAACAACUUUCGCCUCGGCUAGCAGAUAGCAAUACUGUGGGCAACCUGUAGUAGCCAUGGACCCAUGGUAGCUAAUACUAUCAACUAGUACCUACAUUUCUAAUUUUCCCUUUCUACUUUGUUGUUAGAAUUGCUCAUGAACCGCCA